CCCCUGUGUCCUCUAGGCCUCCCCAGACUUUGCCUUUUAGCCUUCCAGUGAAACAAGUUCUGUAUCCAAGAUAUACAAUUAAGUGGACAAAGCAGAUUGCAGAAAGUCUUUUCGUAGCUCACAAGGGGACAUCAAAGAUGACAAAGAGGAGUGGAAGAAGACAGAGAGAAUCAAUGUGAGGAGCCUGGAACAGGGCUCUGAAUUGUCUUCCCACAGUGAAAUCACUUGUCUAUUGCUGAGCCAAGAAUUUGACUCUGAGCAUCUAGGAUGAGAAAGAAGAACUGGCACCUACGCCAUCUCUGCCCCUCGGGACUGACUAUUUUGGCCCAGUUUCCUCAACAAUGAAAUGGGACUAAUUAUCCCAGGUCACACUUCUCUCUGGGCUUACCCUGGGAAUCAGAUGAUUGAGCUUUGGAUCUCACUCUGUUGCCCAGGCUGGAAUGCAGUGAUACGAUCAUGACUCACUGCAGCCUCAAACUCCUGGGUUCAAGUAACCCUCCCACCUCAGCUUUCUGAGUAACUGGGACUACAGUCUUCUAGUAAAAUUGAUGCUCCAAGAAGAUACACAACGUUGACCAUGUGGAUUCAGAUAUCUCCCGCUUGGAUCUCAGCCUGGAUCUUGUUGUUUGAGAA
Long non-coding RNA from Homo sapiens (human), 633 nucleotides. NCBI's taxonomy places the organism in Eukaryota, Metazoa, Chordata, Mammalia, Primates, Hominidae. The record is from Ensembl.